UCGACACCGGUAAUAGUUUGAAAAAGUGGAAAAAUUGAUCGUAACCACGUGUCAGUGUUGUGUCAAUGUCGGAUACCGAGUAUUGGACACCAGACACGCCUUCAAUGUGAAGUGUCGGUGCUACAUAGGUAGCAGAUAGCUACUGAAUUGAAGACAAACAACAAAAACGAUAAAAGAAUACUUAAAAAUACAUGAUUUAGAAAAGGAGACCUCAUCUACCCUCAGACUUCACCAACUGUGAGAAUACCCUACUCAUAGAAACAC
RNAcentral lists this long non-coding RNA (264 nucleotides) under Trifolium pratense (red clover). RNAcentral describes it as "long non-coding RNA (TPRA_LNC003495)". The record is from RNAcentral. Lineage: Eukaryota; Viridiplantae; Streptophyta; Magnoliopsida; Fabales; Fabaceae.